This 584-nucleotide long non-coding RNA is filed under the name Parus major (Great Tit). RNAcentral describes it as "lncRNA (ENSPMJG00000016607.1)". Lineage: Eukaryota; Metazoa; Chordata; Aves; Passeriformes; Paridae. The record is from RNAcentral.
UGAGAAACCUGAUUUUGAGAAGUCUUUUAGGAUACACAUCUUGAAACUAAACCAGCUGCUGUUGGCUUUGUUGCUACAUCAGAUACAACUUUGGAAAGGACAUGGUAAUGAGAGCUGACAAGUGGGAAUUCUCUGAUUCAAAAACAUCUAAAAAUUCUCUGGAUAGGAGCACUAAGGCUCCCACUGCCAUCCUGAGAGGGAGUCAAGAGAGGUUCUGACCUCCCAGAGCUGAGGUGUUGAUGAGAGAGUGCCACUGUAAAGUUCUGGGAAUUUUUCAAGAGCCCUCUCCUGGAAACACAAAACCAGUUUAUCCACCUUAAAAGUAAAGGAAGCAGGUGGAGCAAGUGACCUCCUUGGCUUAACUGUGAGCUUCUGAAUCUGCUCUAAACCAAAAAAGAAGAAAUUCACAGAUGGACAAGCAGAUGAACACCUGUUGGGAACUACAAAGGUAUUCUGGGGUUUUCUUAAUAGUUAGAGAUAGUCCUGUUCUUAACUCUCUCCUCACUAAACUCUGAGAUAUUUCAUCUACAUGCUAAAGAAAAAUUAUCUGAAUGGAAUAUAAAUAAAUAUUGGGUCUGGGUCCA